UACGUAGGGUGCAAGCGUUGUCCGGAAUUAUUGGGCGUAAAGAGCUCGUAGGCGGUUUGUCGCGUCUGCUGUGAAAACCCGAGGCUCAACCUCGGGCCUGCAGUGGGUACGGGCAGACUAGAGUGCGGUAGGGGAGAUUGGAAUUCCUGGUGUAGCGGUGGAAUGCGCAGAUAUCAGGAGGAACACCAAUGGCGAAGGCAGAUCUCUGGGCCGUAACUGACGCUGAGGAGCAAAGCAUGGGGAGCGAACAGG
RNAcentral lists this ribosomal RNA (252 nucleotides) under uncultured bacterium. RNAcentral's name for it is "partial 16S ribosomal RNA". It matches the Rfam family "Bacterial small subunit ribosomal RNA", at positions 524 to 776 of the family's 1533-position model. The record is from RNAcentral.